Molecule: ribosomal RNA, 494 nt
Filed under: uncultured bacterium
Lineage: Bacteria
Description: partial 16S ribosomal RNA
Rfam family: Bacterial small subunit ribosomal RNA
Source: RNAcentral
AUUGAACGCUGGCGGCAUGCUUUACACAUGCAAGUCGAACGGCAGCGGGGAGGAGCUUGCUUCUCUGCCGGCGAGUGGCGAACGGGUGAGUAAUACAUCGGAACGUGUCGAGAAGAGGGGGAUAACCACCCGAAAGGGUGGCUAAUACCGCAUAAAUUCUGAGGAAGAAAGCUGGGGACCUAGGAAUAGGCCUAGCGCUUUUUGAGCGGCCGAUGUCGGAUUAGCUAGUUGGUGAGGUAAAGGCUCACCAAGGCGAAGAUCUGUAGCGGGUCUGAGAGGAGGAUCCGCCACACUGGGACUGAGACACGGCCCAGACUCCUACGGGAGGCAGCAGUGGGGAAUUUUGGACAAUGGGGGCAACCCUGAUCCAGCCAUGCCGCGUGUAUGAAGAAGGCCUUAGGGUUGUAAAGUACUUUUGUUAGGGAAGAAAAGUCAGCUGUGAAUAAUGGCUGAUACUGACGGUACCUAAAGAAUAAGCACCGGCUAACUACGUG